This 26-nucleotide non-coding RNA is filed under the name Rattus norvegicus (Norway rat). The record is from RNAcentral. Lineage: Eukaryota; Metazoa; Chordata; Mammalia; Rodentia; Muridae.
UGGAUCAAGAAGCGAAGGGCCUGAAU